CAGCAGUCGCCGCGGUAACACGUAGGUCCCGAGCGUUGUCCGGAUUUAUUGGGCGUAAAGCGAGCGCAGGCGGUUAGAUAAGUCUGAAGUUAAAGGCUGUGGCUUAACCAUAGUACGCUUUGGAAACUGUUUAACUUGAGUGCAAGAGGGGAGAGUGGAAUUCCAUGUGUAGCGGUGAAAUGCGUAGAUAUAUGGAGGAACACCGGUGGCGAAAGCGGCUCUCUGGCUUGUAACUGACGCUGAGGCUCGAAAGCGUGGGGAGCAAACAGGAUUAGAUACCCCCGUAGUCCCUGUCUCUUAUACC
RNAcentral lists this ribosomal RNA (304 nucleotides) under uncultured bacterium. RNAcentral describes it as "partial 16S ribosomal RNA". It matches the Rfam family "Bacterial small subunit ribosomal RNA", at positions 509 to 808 of the family's 1533-position model. The record is from RNAcentral.